AGAGUUUGAUCAUGGCUCAGGACGAACGCUGGCGGCGUGCUUAACACAUGCAAGUCGAACGAGGUGCUUGCACCUAGUGGCGAACGGGUGAGUAACACGUGAGCAACCUGCCCCUGGCUCUGGGAUAGCCUCCGGAAACGGGGAUUAAUACCGGACAUGACCCUGGAAGGCAUCUUCCGGGGUGGAAAGUUUUUCGGCCA
This 200-nucleotide ribosomal RNA is filed under the name uncultured bacterium. Its description in RNAcentral is "partial 16S ribosomal RNA". It matches the Rfam family "Bacterial small subunit ribosomal RNA", at positions 8 to 221 of the family's 1533-position model. The record is from RNAcentral.